RNAcentral lists this ribosomal RNA (499 nucleotides) under uncultured bacterium. RNAcentral's name for it is "partial 16S ribosomal RNA". It matches the Rfam family "Bacterial small subunit ribosomal RNA", at positions 28 to 523 of the family's 1533-position model. The record is from RNAcentral.
GACGAACGCUGGCGGCGUGCCUAAUACAUGCAAGUCGUGCGAACCACUUCGGUGGUGAGCGGCGGCCGGGUGAGUAACACGUGGGCAAUCUGCCCGACAGACCGGGAUAACGCUUGGAAACGAGUGCUAAUACCGGAUACGCUCUUGAAUCGCAUGGUUCGAGAGGGAAAGCUGCCUUUGCAGCACUGUCGGAUGAUCCCGGGGCGCAUUAGCUAGUUGGUGAGGUAACGGUUCACCAAGGCGACGAUGCGUAGCCGACCUGAGAGGGUGACCGGCCACACUGGGACUGAGACACGGCCCAGACUCCUACGGGAGGCAGCAGUAGGGAAUCUUCCGCAAUGGGCGCAAGCCUGACGGAGCAACGCCGCGUGAGUGAUGAAGGCCUUCGGGUUGUAAAACUCUGUCUUCUGUGAAGAACAAGCCUAUGAAGAGAAUGCUUAGGCCCUGACGGUAACAGAGGAGGAAGCCCCGGCUAACUACGUGCCAGCCGCCGCUGUAA